UGUCGAAGCCGUCAAAAAUAAACCUAUUAAACAAUCAACAAUAAACUUGUAGAUAGUGGCAAUAGGGUCGAACCACAGGGAAUUGACACUAAAGAUCUUCUUAAUAAUAACCAAGAUAAGUAAAUAACAAAUAAUUAAAAGAGGGGGGUUUUGAGUUGAUGGAUUAACACUAAAUAACAAAAGAAAGCAAUAAUUUAAAGAUGAGUAAAUCAAUAAGAGAGAAGCUUCUAGUUGAAGUAUGGAUCUUAUUUCAGAUUGUUUAGAAUUGAUCAUUGAUUCUUUAACUCUCCUAUUUAUUCCAAUAAAUUAGUUUUGGAUGUGGAAGACGCUUCUCACAAUCCAAAUUCCUCCUUAGUUCUAGUUUGAUUAGGAAACGUUCGCUAAUCAAACACUAAUCAACAAGUUGCCAAGGAACGUCCUUGGGGCAUUGUAGCAUCGAACAACUGUUGACUGCAUUAAGACUUAGAGAAACCCAAUUCUAUCCUUGCCAACCGCGUGGUCAAGUUUAGAUUAUGCAAUUUGAUUAAAUGUGUAUUUGAACAACUUAAGCAAUUACGGACCUAAAUCAUUCAAACAAUAUUACUUAAGCAAUUUAAAAGCAAUGGGCCUUUAUUGAUUCUAAAAGCAAAGUAAUAUUUAUGGAAAGCUCAAAUUGCAUAAAUAUUGAAAAUAAAUAGAAGUUUAACAAUGGAGAUUUAAAUCUCCCAAUUCAUCACAAAAUCUGAAAUUCACCAACUUCAACUAGAAAAGAAAGUGUUUAGCCACUCAUGGUGGACUAAAUACACAAAAAGAUGAAAAGAAAAGAAAAAGGAAGAUGCUGGAGAGUUUCUGGCGAGUUGAGUUGCUGAUCCAAGGAUGCUUUUGCUGGUUUUGAGACUCCCCUUUUAUAGCUGAAGAAUUCUCUAGGGUUUUGAAAUCCCUUUUUGAUUUGGUGUUGGACUCCUCUUUUGAUGUUGAAUUUAAUUGCAAUUGGAUUUCCUUGGAUGAGAAGCUCUUUCGUGGCUCUUGGAUUUGUGUUGGAAGUGAUUGGAUUGGAUUUGGACUUCUGAAAAUUCGGAUUUCUGUUUGCUGCCCAUUUUCCCGCUCUGCUGUAAUUUUCUGCUGUCAAAGUGAUUUGCCCAGCGAUCGGGUCAGUUUCUUCAAGUGAUUGGGCAAAUCGCUGACCAGAUCGCUUCUCUGUGAGCCAGUCCUCUAUGUCUCUGUGAGUGAUUUGGCCAGUGAUCUUCGAUUUUCUUGGGCAAAUCACCUGCCCAUAUUACUGCUGUCUGUUGCCUCCGGUUUCUGCUUUAGCUUGAUUUGGGCGGUGAUUGGAGCAGAUUUUUGGGCAAAUCACUGGGCAAAUCAUCCUUUUGUAAAUUUCUGCACUUUUUCUUCCAUUUUCCAAUUUCUUCCUUUUCUGUAAAAACAAGAUAAUAACCAUAAAUUAAGCUAGAAAAUGUGUAAAUAAGCAAUAAAAAAGAUAAUAAAAAUGUGGCUAAAUUAUGCUUGAUCA
RNAcentral lists this long non-coding RNA (1492 nucleotides) under Manihot esculenta (cassava). RNAcentral describes it as "long non-coding RNA (MESC_LNC005023)". The record is from RNAcentral. Lineage: Eukaryota; Viridiplantae; Streptophyta; Magnoliopsida; Malpighiales; Euphorbiaceae.